This 689-nucleotide long non-coding RNA is filed under the name Homo sapiens (human). RNAcentral's name for it is "HSALNT0333178". Lineage: Eukaryota; Metazoa; Chordata; Mammalia; Primates; Hominidae. The record is from RNAcentral.
GGAAAAGAGGAAGAGAUAGGAGAUUUCUCUCUCCUCCUUGUGAGGAUACAAGGAGAAGAUGGCCAUCAGCACAUCAGGAAGAGAGCCAUCAAUAGAACCGAAUCAACAGACACCUUGAUCAUGGACUUCUGAGCCUCCUGAACUGAUGAAGGCUCAGAUCAGUUUCAUCUAUAUGCUAUGCCUGCCUGACCUGGAGAACUUGGUGUUAAAGGAAAUGUGUUUAUCAAAUGUGUCAUGUUAUCCUUGGAGGGCAACUGAGGAUCAGAGCACAGCUGCCUUGAAUUGUUCCAUCGAGUUAUUCCACUGCAGUUAAGUGGAACAUCAAAAAACGUCAAGAAGCCUAAAACAUGGAAACUUGUUUAAUUUUCUCAAACAAUGGCACUAACCAAAGCAAACGAAACUUUGACAAGAAAGAAGCAAUUGUUUAGCCUUGUCAUGUCCUCACAGUUAAUAAUACAAAGGGUAUAUUCACAGUGCAAAGAUACUUUCCCUUUCUCUCAAAAUAGAAGACAACGUAUUGUAAGAUAUUUUACAGAUGUCCUUCCUCAUAGAACUCUGUAAACUUUACUAGCUCAAGAACAAAAUCAAAGUUUCAAUUCACGGGACUGAUUCAUCUUGCAUUUUAGGUAUUCUAAUGGUAUAUUUGUACUGUGUGUUGCAACCUAUAGAAUAAAUGUACUUCUUCUUCA